Panthera pardus (leopard) is the source of this 111-nucleotide small nucleolar RNA. Ensembl annotates it as small nucleolar RNA, C/D box 111. Its record names the gene SNORD111. The record is from Ensembl. NCBI's taxonomy places the organism in Eukaryota, Metazoa, Chordata, Mammalia, Carnivora, Felidae.
UAGCCUAAAAUGAUGACUCUUUAAAUUUCAUGUCUUUUUUCUGACAUUUUUCUCUGGAGAAAGUUCUUGAUGUUGCUCAUUUAUUCAGGAUGUAGAGUGAAAUUGUGGCUG